GAUAUCAAUCAGUUUACGAGAGACUGUCAGUUUAUUCUAAUAUUAAUUAAUUUUUUUAAUUAUUUUUUAUUUUUAAUUUGAACGUUAAAAAUUUUUUAUCGAAAAAUAUCAUCCACGAUGAAGAUUUAUUUUGUAGAUGUUCCAUGAUGUUCCAGCGGCGAUUUUAUUUCAGCCAUAUCUAUUUUGACGACUGAUCACGGACGGAG
Molecule: long non-coding RNA, 206 nt
Filed under: Elaeis guineensis (African oil palm)
Lineage: Eukaryota; Viridiplantae; Streptophyta; Magnoliopsida; Arecales; Arecaceae
Description: long non-coding RNA (EGUI_LNC019014)
Source: RNAcentral